Molecule: ribosomal RNA, 464 nt
Filed under: Vreelandella stevensii
Lineage: Bacteria; Pseudomonadati; Pseudomonadota; Gammaproteobacteria; Oceanospirillales; Halomonadaceae
Description: partial 16S ribosomal RNA
Rfam family: Bacterial small subunit ribosomal RNA
Source: RNAcentral
CCUACGGGGUGCAGCAGUGGGGAAUAUUGGACAAUGGGCGAAAGCCUGAUCCAGCCAUGCCGCGUGUGUGAAGAAGGCCUUCGGGUUGUAAAGCACUUUCAGUGGGGAAGAAAGCCUUGGGGCUAAUACCCUCGAGGAAGGACAUCACCCACAGAAGAAGCACCGGCUAACUCCGUGCCAGCAGCCGCGGUAAUACGGAGGGUGCGAGCGUUAAUCGGAAUUACUGGGCGUAAAGCGCGCGUAGGCGGUCUGAUAAGCCGGUUGUGAAAGCCCCGGGCUCAACCUGGGAACGGCAUCCGGAACUGUCAGGGGAGAGUGCAGGAGAGGAAGGUAGAAUUCCCGGUGUAGCGGUGAAAUGCGUAGAGAUCGGGAGGAAUACCAGUGGCGAAGGCGGCCUUCUGGACUGACACUGACGCUGAGGUGCGAAAGCGUGGGUAGCAAACAGGAUUAGAUACCCUAGUAGU